AUUGAACGCUGGCGGCAUGCUUUACACAUGCAAGUCGAACGGCAACGACGGGGGCAACCCUGGUGGCGAGUGGCGAACGGGUGAGUAAUACAUAGGAACGUAUCCUGAAAUGGGGGAUAGCUCGGCGAAAGCCGGAUUAAUACCGCAUACGAUCUACGGAUGAAAGCAGGGGAUUCGCAAAGAACCUUGCGUUUCUGGAGCGGCCUAUGUCUGAUUAGCUAGUUGGCGGGGAAAAGCCCACCAAGGCGACGAUCAGUAGCUGGUCUGAGAGGAUGAUCAGCCACAC
This 286-nucleotide ribosomal RNA is filed under the name uncultured bacterium. Its description in RNAcentral is "partial 16S ribosomal RNA". It matches the Rfam family "Bacterial small subunit ribosomal RNA", at positions 30 to 313 of the family's 1533-position model. The record is from RNAcentral.